GCAUGUUGGUGCCAUGGAGGGCGGCUUCGGCUCGGACCUGGGGGGCACGGGCAGCAGGCAGCUGGACCCGGGGCUCAUCAUGGAGCAGGUGAAGGUGCAGAUCGCCGUGGCCAAGGUGCAGGAGCUGCUGCAGAGGAUGACAGACAAGUGUUUCUGCAAGUGUACUGGGAAGCCAGGGGCUGCUGGACAACUCGGAGCAGAAGUGCCUCACCAUGUGCCUGGACCACUACACGGACGCCUGGAACACCGUGUCAUGCGCCUACAACUCGAGGCUGCAGCGGGAGCGCAACAACAUGUGACCCGGGGGGCUGGGGGCCUCCCGGCCUGCCUGGAGUAAUGGAGGGGGCCAAUAAAGGACCAGAGGAGAAAAAAAAAAGUCCCACGGUAUCCUGGUGGUGCUGGUCUUUGGGGAGCCCAGGAAGAACUGUCUGAAGACGCUGCAGGAAGAAGGUAACACAGGA
Molecule: RNA transcript, 461 nt
Organism: Ochotona princeps (American pika)
Lineage: Eukaryota; Metazoa; Chordata; Mammalia; Lagomorpha; Ochotonidae
Gene name: mitochondrial import inner membrane translocase subunit Tim13-like
Exons: 1
Source: RefSeq, a predicted model, not a curated record